GGCUGGUUUACUGGGGUUUCUGUGAGGCUGGUUUACAAGGUUUCUGUAAGACUGGUUUACUGGGGUUUCUGUUAGACUGGUUUACUGGGGUUUCUGUGAGACUGGUUUACUGGGGUUUCUGUGAAACUGUCCAGUUUACACAGAUUUCUGUGAGACUACCUUGUUUACACAGGUUUCUGUGAGACUGGUUUACUGGGGUUUGUGUGAGAGUGACUGUUUUACUGAAGUGUGAGAUUGGUUUACUGAGGUUUAUGUUGGACUAGUUUAUACAGGUUUCUAUGUUAAAACUGUCUUGUUCACUCAGGGUUCUAUGAAACUGUCUGGUUUACACAGGUUUCUAUUAAACUGUCCAGUUUACACAGGUUUAAAUGAGACUACCUUGUUUACACAGGUUUCUGUGAGAAUGGUUUACACAGGUUUCUGUCAGACUAGUUUACACAGGUUUCAAUGAUAAAACUGUCUGGUUCACUCAGGGUUCUAUGAAACUGUCCAGUUUACACAGGUUUAAAUGAGACUACCUUGUUUACACAGGUUUCUGUGAGAAUGGUUUACACAGGUUUCUGUCAGACUAGUUUAGACAGGUUUCUAUGAUAAAACUGUCUGGUUCACUCAGGGUUCUGUGAAACUGUCUGGUUUACACAAGUUCCUGUCAGACUGGUAUACUUUCUGAGUCCCAUUCAAGGUUCUGUUUGGAGAGUUUUCAUAUUUUAUCAAACUCUGUUCUUCUGUAGAAUUUCCCAGUGUGUGACAUUUCCCAUUACAUGUCGUUACAGUAAUGCUUGUACAUAUAUACCUAUCUAAAGGUUUAAAUAUACAAAGAUAUAUAAAGUCAAUUUCUCAUUUUCAUAGACAGGUAACUACGAUCUAAACGACCACUGACAAAGCCCUCAUUGUAAGGUUAACAUAAUUAUCAACAAUAAUAUCGGUUUCAAAAAAUCCAAUGUAAAUUGUAAACUCUGAGCACCGGUGGGAAAACUGAUAGCAAGCAACCGUUCAAAACAAAAUUGUCAACAACUCAUGUGUAACGUGGGUAUAAUGCCUUCACUGGUUAAAUGAUUGUGUACACAGAGAUGUACGGACUAGGUACUUAGUGUAGACAGAUCUAUACUCAGAGUGGAAGCCAUAAAGAUGUAAUAGUGUUAUUUACAAUCCAUAUCUCUCAAAGCUUGUAGGCACAGCAUGAUGUAUAGAACAAUCACUACUCAUUUAUCCUGGAUACCAAUGUACAGGGAUUUUCUUGUCUCCUAAUAUCUGCUUUUACAAAGGAUUCAAAGUCUUGUAUGGAAUAUUGUUCUGAUUCAAGCACCUGUCAACAAACUGACCGGAAAUGAAAAACGCAAACUAAAUCCCUACAAAAGGAAGCGGACGUUACGUAUCCGGAUGCAGCGGUAAUGAAACC
Long non-coding RNA from Pecten maximus, 1399 nucleotides. RefSeq lists it as uncharacterized. The transcript is spliced from 2 exons. NCBI's taxonomy places the organism in Eukaryota, Metazoa, Mollusca, Bivalvia, Pectinida, Pectinidae. The record is from RefSeq and is a predicted model, not a curated record.